GACGAACGCUGGCGGCGUGCUUAACACAUGCAAGUCGAACGAAGAGCGAUGGAAGCUUGCUUCUAUCAAUCUUAGUGGCGAACGGGUGAGUAACGCGUAAUCAACCUGCCCUUCAGAGGGGGACAACAGUUGGAAACGACUGCUAAUACCGCAUACGAUCCAAUCUCGGCAUCGGGACUGGAUGAAAGGUGGCCUCUAUUUAUAAGCUAUCACUGAAGGAGGGGAUUGCGUCUGAUUAGCUAGUUGGAGGGGUAACGGCCCUCCAAGGCGAUGAUCAGUAGCCGGUCUGGGAGGAUGGACGGCCACAUUGGGACUGGGACCCGGCCCCGACUCCUACGGGAGGCAGCCGUGGGGAAUCUUCCGCCAUGGAGGGAAGUCUGACGGAGCAACGCCGCGUGGGUGAUGACGGCCUUCGGGUUGUAAAGCUCUGUUAAUCGGGACGAAUGGUUCUUGUGCGAAUAGUGCGAGGAUUUGACGGUACCGGAAUAGAAAGCCACGGCUAACUACGUG
Molecule: ribosomal RNA, 510 nt
Filed under: uncultured bacterium
Lineage: Bacteria
Description: partial 16S ribosomal RNA
Rfam family: Bacterial small subunit ribosomal RNA
Source: RNAcentral